ACACCCACCUCCCUGCUGUUCCUCACCCAGGAUCACCAAGGUCUCUCCUACCCCGGGGCCUGUGCACCUGCUGUGCCUCUGCUUGGGGUGCUCUUCCCAGGGCUUGCCCACCUCCUCAGAGAGGCCUCCUGACCCCUGACACGGCCUUGCCCUUCACCUCUAUCGUCCUUUAGAACAGCCCCCACCUCCCGCACAUCAUGCAGUUGCAGGUUCAAUGGCUACUGCUUGUCCUCCAGACUCGAUAGGCCUCAUCACUCCUCAGAUGAUUCUCGAAGGAUAACACACAGGCCAGUGGGCAGCCCUAGGCCAGGGGGAUUACCAAGACAUGAAGACUUUCUUUCUGUCUCAGCAACCUUCAUGCUUGGUCAAGCAAAGGUGUUGCUUAAGUCAAACCCAGGGCAGGGGAGAGCAGUUGAAGCAAAGUGAGUCUUUGGAGGCCCUGUGGUUGUGGGGUCUGGUGUGGAGACAGUGAGAACGGAAAAGGUGGGAGAGGAGCAGUCAACCCGUGAAUGGCCCCAUUCAGACGCCUUUACCUGGAAGACGUGGCAGGUCUACUGGGGUUCAUCCCAUCUGAGCCAGGCCUGGCUUUUCUUGGCUGCAAGCUGAGAGCUGGGUCCAGGUCUGCUGAACCAAGGUUCUCCCAUCUUCCUUGAGCCAGUGACAAUCAGAGGCCUAUUUCUUUCAUGACGGAAGGCAGGAGAACAAGCAGGACAAGAAAACAGACUCCACCUCUAGGUGCACAAACUACAGAGUCACGGACAGAGAACACAGAUCUAGGGAAGGAAGCUGGAGAAUGAGAACAAUGACCCUCAAUAACACAACCUCCCACAGGUUUCCAAAUCCCCAACCUGAGCAUAUUUCCAAGGAAACGGAAUCAUGGGUUCAGGGUUUUAGAGCAAGCAAUUUCUGCUCUCCCAGCUUAGUUUCCAUACCCUUAACACAGGGGCAAUGACGUCGCAUCGAAUCAUAUCUUAUAAGUCUGUGAUGAUGUUUCAACAACUGAACGCCAGAAAAGUGCUUAGAGCAAGGCCAGCUCCCGGCUCACCCACCCAGCAGCUCAGCACCUGCGAAAUCCGUCUCCCGAUGCACACUUGCUAACCGCGUGGGUGUGAGCACAACGAUGGGAAACAGCGGAAGUCCCCGGAGUGCAGACUCAGGAGUGAACCUGCCUGAAGAGUGGCGUCUAACGCACACACUGUGGUCAGCUCCACCCCACUAUGGGUCCCGGGAAUAGGAGCAAGUAUGUAUUUUGCUUGCAGGGCAGGUGUUUCAUCCACAUUAUUGCAGGAACAGAUGAAUUUAAUUAAAAGAACACCACAGUGGGCACCUCUUCCAGGGAUGUCUCCCUCUAAGAACAUGACACUGAGAUGAUCAAGGUUCUAAAAGGGCGAUCAAAUUACUCUCCGAAAAUGAAACUGCUCAGACAGAAUGACAAUUAAAUUAAUAACAACCAAGACAAUGCCCAGAUUUCAUCUCCGCUCACAGCCCCUCCUGUGUGCUGUAUGAUCAGGUUCUUGGGGUGGCUCCAGAUACAGCAAACAGUCAGGAUUAAUCCACAAGAGUGAGCUGUCAGCAUGAGGUUCCCCUACAGUGGAGCUUGCCAAGGUCCGUGCCUCCCAGGGCACCCGUUCCAGGGCUAACAGAUGAAGCAUGGAAAUGCUGUGUGGAGUGAGCUAAGCAGCCGUUCUCAGGAGAAAACAGACAAAUCCUCCUGCAUCCUGGCAAACCAGCUUUGUGGCCUGUUUUAUGUCAUCUUUGCUGAGCUCCACCGGGUCACCCCUCCUGUUGGCUUUGUGAUACUGACAUUUCAGGCACUGGCACAGAUACAUUGGCCUUCCUGGCUGGGAUUUCACGGACGGAGUGAGCAGUGCUGGCUUGGAGGAGCCGUGGCGGCACAGGGCCUGUGCUCUCAGCUGAUCAACGCCUUGAUAGCCAGGAAAGGCCUGUCCUACCCCAAAGGGCCCUCGCAGCACUGUUUGAAAUUGCUCUUGCCAUCUUUGGAAUGGAUUCCUCAGUACAUUUCAGACUCGUUGUUGUGACUUUGGUUUUAAUCCAGGGACACACCGUGGCCAGUGGAGUGUCUCAACAGCAUCUAUGAUCGCUGUUUCCCAGAGACAGCAUCUCAGAUACCGAUGCUGAAAGAGAAACAGCAGCCUGUCCCCAAGUGGCAGGAAAUAGUCCAUUUUAAUGGCAAUUUCAUAAGUGGCAGAUGAUUUUUAUUGUAAUUUUCUGGUGAGCUGAUUAAGUGGAGGCAGAGUCAGUUCUGAGGCGUCAAUGUCUUUAACAAUUCGGGGAGACGGAGGCCACGCUCAGCAGGAACACUGAGUCCAUGGAAAACAGGCCCUGGGCCCGCUGAUGUGCAUAAUUCCACGUUUGCCCCUCAUGUAACCAGGAUGGUAAAUUACAGGUGUCAGAUAAUCACGCUCUGGAGUGGCUACUUGAGGAUGCGAUCGACCAAUUUAAGCUCCGUCUGACACAUGAUCAAUAGCCCGUGAUGCUGCAUGGAAUUGCAGGCACAGUGUCCAAACCUGCAGAGCAGUGGCUCCCAGCUGGGGCAACUUUGCCCCCCAGAGGACAUUUGGCAAUGUCUGGAUAUGUUUGCAAUUGUCACAACUAGGAAAGGAGGUACCCAUAGGAUACACAGGAAAGUCCUCACACAGUUGUAUCCUGCCCAGACUGUCCGUAGAGCCAGGGUGAGAUGCUCUGACAGAGCCACAGUGAACAUUGCAUUCCAUCAUCUGGGUAUCUCCAGGAAUGUAUGUAGCUGGAUGUCUGGCUUUUCAUCUGGGUUUCACGAGCCUCCUGCAGAACUGAAACCAUGUGCAAAUCAGUUCUCAUACUUGCUCUCCUGCCUCCUUCCUAUUGUAAUUUUUUCUUCCCACCUUUUUUAUUGUUACUAGAGAAAUGAUGAAGAAAAAGAAUAGGCUGGAGAGUCACUCAAAAUUUUGUUUUCCUCAAUUAAAAAGAAGUAAUUUAGAAGUUACUCAAUGAUGUUUUCUUUAAUUAAAAAAAAAAGUAGUUUGGGAAAGCAGAAAAUUAAUGAAGACAGAAAACACAGGUUUCAUGAAAAAGUUCAGCAUCCCAGGAAAGGAGCAAAGAGAAGUCUGCAGAUGAGAGUUGCUCAGUGUCAGGACUCAGAAAACAAUACCCCAAGAUAAUGUUCAAACCUGAGUGCUUUGAACAAAGGAUAUUGAAAGACCUCAGAAGAGGGCCUCAGAACUCACAUGUCUCUCUGACCUUCUCCUGUCUCUCCUUCACUUCCAAAGCAUGAUCUUUGGCCAGGGGAUCUCUCUGGGAUUCCCUUAUCUGCCUGAGGGAUGUACUUCCAAAAGAAAUGUGACUGGCAUGACCUCCUCCCUAGGAAUCUCUUCAAACAGCCGGGAAAGACUGGUCACCUGAGAGGAGAUUGGAAGUCCUCACUGCACUCAGAAAGGCUGUUGUCCAUUCUUCUAGAGACUUUAUCUGAAUAACAAGGCAACUUUUGUUUACCAUUCAGUUCCUCCCCUUUCCUUUCUAACUUGUCACCACCUCCCCCAAAAGCCUCAAGCCUCCACUCCUACAAGCUAUAAAGACUUCAACCAUCUGGCUUCUCAAAAAAAAAAAAAAAAAA
This 3610-nucleotide long non-coding RNA is filed under the name Homo sapiens (human). RNAcentral describes it as "long independently transcribed non-coding RNA 494 (LINC00494)". The record is from RNAcentral. Lineage: Eukaryota; Metazoa; Chordata; Mammalia; Primates; Hominidae.